Molecule: ribosomal RNA, 168 nt
Filed under: uncultured bacterium
Lineage: Bacteria
Description: partial 16S ribosomal RNA
Rfam family: Bacterial small subunit ribosomal RNA
Source: RNAcentral
GCUAGUAAUCGCAGAUCAGCAUGCUGCGGUGAAUACGUUCCCGGGCCUUGUACACACCGCCCGUCACACCAUGGGAAUCGGUAACACCCGAAGUCGGUAGCCUAACCGUAAGGAGGGCGCCGCCGAAGGUGGGGAUUGAUGACUGGGGUGAAGUCGUAACAAGGUAAC